RNAcentral lists this long non-coding RNA (889 nucleotides) under Numida meleagris (helmeted guineafowl). Its description in RNAcentral is "lncRNA (ENSNMEG00000008562.1)". The record is from RNAcentral. Lineage: Eukaryota; Metazoa; Chordata; Aves; Galliformes; Numididae.
GAUUGUUUGGCCCUUAUUAUCAGCAACUUUCAUCCUGGCCAGUGAGUAAAUGGAAAGCAGUGUAUAAACAUGCUAUGAAUAAUGAGGAGCAGCAAUGAGUAAAAAAUGCUAAGUAUUGUUAAAAAGAUAGAAAUUCCUUUUCAAGCACAUCUGUAGAAAGAUUGUUACACUCUUCAGGUUUGAUAGGUUCAGCCUUGUGCAGUGGUAUGCCAGCAAAUUGCAGCGUUCUUGUCGUUGUUGCCCUUUACAUAGGCAUAACUUUGAUCAGGAGAGAAAAUGAAGGAGAUUUAUUUUGUUCAAAAAAUUGGGAGUUUGAAAUUUUCCAUUCUGAACAAAGUGAAAAGAAAAGCAGCUUACUUAGAAAAGAGAACAUAGAUAACACUACAAAUGUCUCCAGCUGAGAACAAUAUCCUGGAAUAUACUCUGGAGAAAAAUCAGCUGAGUGUAAUAGAAACACAAAUAAGUCAGCCUGUGCUUCUCAUAGCUCAGACAACUCCUUAGGCAACCAAAUUUCUGAGUAUUUUUCUCUCAAGAGUAGUGAUCCUGUUUUAUGUAUUUAGUUAAGUAUUCAUCAGUCUGAAAGCAGAGGUAAGAGAUCCUCUACAUCUCAGAGGUACGUGUUGGAUCUUCACUGACUAAAGCACACAGAGCAGGGAAUGGAAGAUUUUUCCCAUGAGCUCAGAGGGUUAUCAUCAGUGACGCUGAGUCCAGUUGGAGGACUGUGCGGGGCACUGAGGGUGAGAGAACGUAUGACAGCAAAACACAGAAAGAGAAGAAGACACAGCAUGUCAUUUUACAGUGGGAUUGUUAGUUGUAAGACGGUUUGUAGUCAGACACGAUUCCUGCAUUUGUUACAUUGAAGUUUGGAGGGGCAAAUUAUUUCUCCGCU